UAAUAAUGGUGUUGCCAGAAG
Molecule: non-coding RNA, 21 nt
Filed under: Caenorhabditis elegans
Lineage: Eukaryota; Metazoa; Nematoda; Chromadorea; Rhabditida; Rhabditidae
Source: RNAcentral